Molecule: ribosomal RNA, 388 nt
Filed under: uncultured bacterium
Lineage: Bacteria
Description: bacterial SSU rRNA
Rfam family: Bacterial small subunit ribosomal RNA
Source: RNAcentral
GACGAACGCUGGCGGCGUGCUUAACACAUGCAAGUCGAGCGGUAAGGCCCUUUCGGGGGUACACGAGCGGCGAACGGGUGAGUAACACGUGGGUGACCCGCCCUCAGCUCUGGGAUAAGCCUGGGAAACCGGGUCUAAUACCGGAUAUGACUCCAUGACGCAUGUUGUGGGGUGGAAAGCCUUGUGCGGCUGAGGAUGGGCCCGCGGCCUAUCAGCUUGUUGGUGGGGUGAUGGCCUACCAAGGCGACGACGGGUAGCCGGCCUGAGAGGGCGACCGGCCACACUGGGACUGAGACACGGCCCAGACUCCUACGGGAGGCAGCAGUGGGGAAUCUUGCGCAAUGGGCGAAAGCCUGACGCAGCGACGCCGCGUGAGGGAUGACGGCCU